CCAUGAGUACAGUGGCGCACGGGUGAGUAACACGUGACUAACCUACCCUGGAGUGGGGGAUAACUGAGGGAAACCUUAGCUAAUACCGCAUAACACCUACGGGUCAAAGGAGCAAUUCGCUUCAGGAGGGGGUCGCGGCCGAUUAGUUAGUUGGCGGGGUAAUGGCCCACCAAGACAGUGAUCGGUAUCCGGCCUGAGAGGGCGCACGGACACACUGGAACUGAAACACGGUCCAG
RNAcentral lists this ribosomal RNA (236 nucleotides) under uncultured bacterium. RNAcentral's name for it is "partial 16S ribosomal RNA". It matches the Rfam family "Bacterial small subunit ribosomal RNA", at positions 84 to 334 of the family's 1533-position model. The record is from RNAcentral.